AUAAUAGUGAUGCAGUAGCAAUAAUAGAAAUAGUAAGUUUAAUAGGAAUAAUGGUGUCACGACGUUUUGUUAGGAAGUUGGAGAAUUGCCAUGGAAAUUGGUGUGUUAGUGUCUGAGCUGCUGCUAACCAGGUUUUUUGUCCCAAGAAAGUGCUGCCUUGGCUCUGCAUGAGCCCUUUUCCUGUCACAUCUUGCUCUUCCUCAGUGUGUUGGCAACAACAAGCCUUGGCUGGCUUCACAGCCAUCAGGCUCCCCAUGGCCAGCACCAGCACUGCUCCAGUUCUGCCUCCAGAGCACAACCCUGGCUGGCAGCUUCCUCACUCCCCUCACUCCAUGCCCUCUGUUAUGUACCAGAAAGUGAGCAGCAGCCUCAAAAUCUUCUCCUCCAUCCUCCUGCAACGUAGAAUUUGGGCACCCAAUCAUCAUCAGAAAAUCCAGUGUCAGGCUUUGGUGUUUGGCACUGGUACAGGACAGACCUGACAAGGGGAAUGCUGAACUGGCUCUCACCUGGCUUUUACUUUCUCAGGAAGGGUGGGAGGACAUUCAGAGAGAAGGCAGAGGCACGUUGGAAAGCAGGUUUAAAUAAAG
Long non-coding RNA from Vidua macroura (Pin-tailed whydah), 587 nucleotides. RefSeq lists it as uncharacterized. The record is from RefSeq and is a predicted model, not a curated record. Lineage: Eukaryota; Metazoa; Chordata; Aves; Passeriformes; Viduidae. The transcript has 3 exons.